GAUGAACGCUGGCGGCGUGCCUAAUACAUGCAAGUCGAGCGAACGGACGAGAAGCUUGCUUUUCUGAUGUUAGCGGCGGACGGGUGAGUAACACGUGGAUAACCUACCUAUAAGACUGGGAUAACUUCGGGAAACCGGAGCUAAUACCGGAUAAUAUUUUGAACCGCAUGGUUCAAAAGUGAAAGACGGUCUUGCUGUCACUUAUAGAUGGAUCCGCGCUGCAUUAGCUAGUUGGUAAGGUAACGGCUUACCAAGGCAACGAUGCAUAGCCGACCUGAGAGGGUGAUCGGACACACUGGAACUGAGACACGGUCCAGACUCCUACGGGAGGCAGCAGUAGGGAAUCUUCCGCAAUGAGCGAAAGCCUGACGGAGCAAAGCCGCGUGAGUGAUGAAGGUCUUCGGAUCGUAAAACUCUGCUAUUAGGGAAGAACAUAUGUGUAAGUAACUGUGCACAUCUUGACGGUACCUAAUCAGAAAGCCACGGCUAACUACGUG
Molecule: ribosomal RNA, 497 nt
Filed under: uncultured bacterium
Lineage: Bacteria
Description: partial 16S ribosomal RNA
Rfam family: Bacterial small subunit ribosomal RNA
Source: RNAcentral